CUGACGACGUGGAUCUAAUGACAUCAUCAAAGUUCAAAGGACAAACGCUAGGUCCUAAUACAACAUCAGUGAAUUCAGAGAGGAAACCACAGAGAGACGGUGAUGCAACAUUUUAAAUGAUUGUAGCAGGUUAACACUCAGACCUGGUACUGUUAGUAUAAACCAGACCUUUGGUUUCGCACGGGAAGGGAAACACCUUGAUCUGAAAUGAACGCCAGAGGAGACGGGCGACACAUUGGGAAAAAUAGUCCUUGUUGGUUCAUUUUGCCCAUAGGAGAUUUGCCAGCAGCGAAUCAGCUGACCAACAGGCAGAUCGCCACCUUGGACUAUUUUGUGCAACUGGGAAGAAACGACAAUGAGCUCAGGCAAAUACGGAUGUUUUUGCACGACAUCAGUCAGCUGAGAAUGUUACGGGAACUUCACCGUCUGCAGCAGGACUAAAGGCCGCGCCGAGGCUCGUACACGGCUGUGAUGACAUCACAUGACACUAUGACAUCACAGAAGAUCAAAGGACUAAGACUUCAUAUUUUAUCAUGUCAAAAACACCUCCACUAGGGGGAGCCCACCACCAUUAGACAGGAAGCAGGAAGGAAGGGAAACAGAAGGAAUGAGUAAUAAAUUAAACAGAAGGCAAUAAUGAAACACCGCUGCUGCCAACUGUGGGUCAAGUCCACUGUUUACCAACAAACUGACCGACCAACUGACCAACCGAGGAGGUAAAAGAGGGGGGAGCUGACAAGUUACAGAGUUACACUUUAGCAGCUCUGCUCAAUAUGAAUCCAUACGGCGACGGACGACACAACGCAAGAAACAGUCCACGUUGGUACAUUUUACCCAGAGGUAAUUUGCCACCAGCUAAUCAAUUAACCAAUGUGCAGAUCGCGAUAUUGGACUACAACGUACAAAUGGGGAGAACUGAUCAACAAAUCCGAGAAAUGAGGACAUUUCUCCAAAAUCUGACUCAACAGAGGGCGGAGCUGCGACUUUACCGUCUGCAGCAUCUGCAACGGAACUGGAGGAUUUGACCAGGCUGAUUAUAACAAGCUGGCAUUUAGGAUGAGGAACCUCAACACUGAUGCGAUUGCGUGAGCCAAAAAGAUCGGUUCUGCACAGACCAGGGACGUAAACGGUGAGGUGGGGGGGUUAAAGGAUCAUCUAUCUUUAAAAGUCAACUGAUACGAGCUCUCUUAAAAACCAUCCAUGGGCUGAAGAAAUUAUUAGCGAUGUAAUGUUUUACAGUUUCAUGUCAUAAUAAAAUCAUAAUAUUUUGGACA
Long non-coding RNA from Cynoglossus semilaevis (tongue sole), 1274 nucleotides. RefSeq lists it as uncharacterized. The record is from RefSeq and is a predicted model, not a curated record. NCBI's taxonomy places the organism in Eukaryota, Metazoa, Chordata, Actinopteri, Pleuronectiformes, Cynoglossidae. The transcript is spliced from 4 exons.